AGUGAACGCUGGCGGUGCGCCUAGAACAUGCAAGUCGAGCGCCCAGCACCCUGUCCUUAGAGAUGAGGCCAGAGUGCUGGGAGCGGCGAACGGCUGCGUAACACGUGGGUACCUACCCCGAACUCAGGGAUAACCUUCCGAAAGGAAGGCUAAUACCGGAUAGUCUCGAAAGAGUAAAGCUUUCGCGGUUCGGGAGGGGCCUGCGGCCUAUCAGGUAGUUGGUGAGGUAACGGCUCACCAAGCCUAUGACGGGUAGCUGGUCUGAGAGGACGACCAGCCAGAAUGGGACUGAGACACGGCCCAUACUCCUACGGGAGGCAGCAGUUAGGAAUCUUCCGCAA
This 341-nucleotide ribosomal RNA is filed under the name uncultured bacterium. RNAcentral describes it as "bacterial SSU rRNA". It matches the Rfam family "Bacterial small subunit ribosomal RNA", at positions 29 to 371 of the family's 1533-position model. The record is from RNAcentral.